Molecule: non-coding RNA, 1273 nt
Organism: Camelina sativa (false flax)
Lineage: Eukaryota; Viridiplantae; Streptophyta; Magnoliopsida; Brassicales; Brassicaceae
Source: RefSeq, a predicted model, not a curated record
UACAUGUCAGUUUUUUUCUUCCUUAUGUGGACAAGCAAAUCAAAAACGAUUUUGAUUAAACGCAGUGAUUUAUGUUCUUCGUAUUUGUUUGCUUCUUCUGUCCAAUAUCCGGCCAAAGCUCUGAUUUUGCGACUGCUAAAACCUUCGGAACUCCCUUUAUUUCGUUGGACGAUCAUCACCUUCCAGAAAAUUUCAACCGGAAACGUUCGUCCACCAUCAGCUUCAUCUCCGUCGAGUUCUGAAGACUUUCAACCAAUCGAAGAGCUUCCUCUGAAGCUACAAGAGAUAGUGAAGUUAUUCCUAUCGGGACAAGAGCCGAGAGCUAAAUACAUGCAGCUUAUAUUCUACGAAGAACAUCUUAAACCACUCGAGCCUCGAUUCAAGACGAGGGAGAAUAAAGUUGAAGAUUGUGUUUCUCAGGUUUGGGUUAGGGAUUUCUUCGAUGACCAACACAACGUUGUCUAUGAAGCUGAUUCUGAUUCAUCUAUCACUAAAGGGCUUGCUGCUCUUUUAGUCCAGGGUUUAUCUGGUAGACCUGUCCCUGAGAUUUUGAGGGUUACGCCUGAUUUUGCUCUUCUUCUUGGUUUGCAGCAGAGUCUGUCUCCUUCUAGAAACAAUGGAUUCCUUAAUAUGCUUAAGUUGAUGCAGAAAAAGGCUCUUCAUUUGGAAGUCAAAGGUGAGGAAGAUUCAAGUUCUGGAGAGAGUUUAGAAUCCAGCUUCGUACCUACUCCUGAAACAAACGGUGGAGAAAGUUUUGUGGUUGACAAGGAAUUUUCUGCAUUCGUCACAAUACGACAUCGUCGAGACUUUGUUCUGUUCAUCAAUCAUCACUGGUCGCACCGAGAAUCAAGUUCUGUUCUGGUAGUGGUGGUGGUGUUUUAAAUUCCGGUAAGAGGUGCGUGGCGAGGUGUAGCUUAGAAACAGUGAAUGUUAGUGUUGGCCAGGUUACGGAGGUUGAUAAGGAUACGUUCUGACCAAUCGUUAAAGCCGUCGGUGAUAAGAUUGUUAUUCUCGAUAUGUACACUCAGUGAGAAGAAGAGAAAGAGCGGGUUGUGAAGAAGGAGGACAAUUUUGGAAUUCUCACUUUCUCAGGAAUGAAGAACCGGUUAUCAAAAUUGUAUGUCCCAGUUUGUUGUUUGUGUUCGGAUAAUAAUCUUGGUUCGUUAGUUUUGGUAUUUCUUGGUUCGUUCGACAAAAGUAAUAAUAAUGUUGUUUGUCCAUGUAACUUAUGAUUGUUAAUUUAAAAUACAAAAAAACGAAAACUGUAUCAUAA